Long non-coding RNA from Oxyura jamaicensis (ruddy duck), 993 nucleotides. RefSeq lists it as uncharacterized. The transcript is spliced from 2 exons. The record is from RefSeq and is a predicted model, not a curated record. NCBI's taxonomy places the organism in Eukaryota, Metazoa, Chordata, Aves, Anseriformes, Anatidae.
GCCACUCUCUAUCAUAUUUGAAAAGUCCUAGCAGUCAGCUGAAGUCCAUGUUGACUGGAAAAAAGGAAACAUCAUUCCCAUUUUUAAAAAGGGUAGAAAGGAGGACCUGGGGUCUACAGACCGGUGAGCCUCACCUGUGUGCCUGGGAAUAUCCUAGAACAGAUCCUCCUGGAAGCAAUGCAAGGCACAUACAGGACAAGGAGGUGAUCUGAGACAGCCAGCAUGGUUUCACCAAGGGCAAAUCCUGCCUGACCAAUCUGGUGGUCUUCUGUGAUGGAGUGACUGCAUCAGUUGACAAGGGAAGACCAUCUACCUGGACUUCUCCACAGCCUUUGACGCAGUCCCACAUGACACCCUGAUCUCCAAAAUGGAGAGGGAUGGAUUUGAUGGGUGGGCUGUUUAGUGGGACAGCUUGCUAAAUACUAACAUGGUGUGACUGAUCAUAGGAAAUAUGUAAAUUAAAUACCUUCUGAUGUUGUAACUAAGUUCAUUAACACCACAGCAAACCAAAUGUUUAAAGUGUUGUUUUUUUCUUGUUAGACUCUACUUCUUGCAAGAGUUUAAGAAAAAAAAGUCAAAACCAGAACAAAUAGGAUGUUUGGUUGUUCUACCCUAGCAUCAAAACCUGAUGGAAAAAAUGCAAAAAGCGCUUGUUUGUGGUGGUAGUUUAUUCAGAGUGUUUUUAAGACGGCGCUAUGCAAGGGCAAUGGAACUGAAUGUGUGCCAGCUUCUUCCUAAUUGGAGUUCACACCCCUGAGGUAUUAACUUGAAUUGAAACUGCACAUGGUUUAAAUUAGUAUCUUAAACUCUGAACUGUGGUGCAUCAGGAGCUGGCAUGUCUGAUUUAGCAAUGAUCGCUGUGGAGCGGGAAGAUGAGUUGAUAACUCAUUCUGAGAGGCUGCUUCUUAAAGCUCCUACUCAGAUUUUGUUCCACAGCAAUGUUUGUGUCACUGCCAUGAAUGUUAUAUCAGUAAUAAAGCAGUUGUUUGAAAA